CAGCAGCCGCGGGAAUACGGAGGGGGCUAGCGUUGUUCGGAAUUACUGGGCGUAAGGCGCACGUAGGCGGCUUGGUAAGUUAGAGGUGAAAGCCCAGGGCUCAACCCUGGAAUUGCCUUUAAGACUGCCGAGCUAGUAGGUGAGAGAGGUAAGUGGAAUUCCGAGUGUAGAGGUGAAAUUCGUAGAUAUUCGGAAGAACACCAGUGGCGAAGGCGGCUUACUGGCUCAUUCUAGACGCUGAGGUGCGAAAGCGUGGGGAGCAAACAGGAUUAGAUACCCGCGUAGUCCCUGUCUCUUAUAC
RNAcentral lists this ribosomal RNA (301 nucleotides) under uncultured bacterium. RNAcentral describes it as "partial 16S ribosomal RNA". It matches the Rfam family "Bacterial small subunit ribosomal RNA", at positions 509 to 807 of the family's 1533-position model. The record is from RNAcentral.